This 376-nucleotide ribosomal RNA is filed under the name uncultured bacterium. RNAcentral's name for it is "bacterial SSU rRNA". It matches the Rfam family "Bacterial small subunit ribosomal RNA", at positions 521 to 895 of the family's 1533-position model. The record is from RNAcentral.
UAAUACGUAGGGUGCGAGCGUUAAUCGGAAUUACUGGGCGUAAAGCGUGCGCAGGCGGCGGCUCAAGUCAGGUGUGAAAUCCCCGGGCUUAACCUGGGAAUUGCGCUUGAAACUAGGUUGCUAGAGUGUGGCAGAGGGGGGUGGAAUUCCACGUGUAGCAGUGAAAUGCGUAGAGAUGUGGAGGAACACCGAUGGCGAAGGCAGCCCCCUGGGUCAACACUGACGCUCAUGCACGAAAGCGUGGGGAGCAAACAGGAUUAGAUACCCUGGUAGUCCACGCCCUAAACGAUGUCGACUAGGUGUUGGGGAAGGAGACUUCCUUAGUACCGCAGCUAACGCGUGAAGUCGACCGCCUGGGGAGUACGGUCGCAAGAUU